GCCCUUAACGCGAAGAACCUUACCUGGCCUUGACAUCCAGAGAACUUAGCAGAGAUGCUUUGGUGCCUUCGGGAACUCUGAGACAGGUGCUGCAUGGCUGUCGUCAGCUCGUGUUGUGAAAUGUUGGGUUAAGUCCCGCAACGAGCGCAACCCUUAUCCUUUGUUGCCAGCAUUCAGUUGGGCACUCUAGAGUGACUGCCGGUGACAAACCGGAGGAAGGUGGGGAUGACGUCAAGUCAUCAUGCCCCUUAUGACCUGGGCUACACACGUGCUACAAUGGCGCAUACAAAGAGAAGCGACCUCGCGAGAGCAAGCGGACCUCAUAAAGUGCGUCGUAGUCCGGAUUGAAGUCUGCAACUCGACUCCAUGAAGUCGGAAUCGCUAGUAAUCGUAGAUCAGAAUGCUACGGUGAAUACGUUCCCGGGCCUUGUACACACCGAAGGGC
This 445-nucleotide ribosomal RNA is filed under the name uncultured bacterium. RNAcentral describes it as "bacterial SSU rRNA". It matches the Rfam family "Bacterial small subunit ribosomal RNA", at positions 953 to 1398 of the family's 1533-position model. The record is from RNAcentral.